Molecule: ribosomal RNA, 844 nt
Filed under: uncultured bacterium
Lineage: Bacteria
Description: bacterial SSU rRNA
Rfam family: Bacterial small subunit ribosomal RNA
Source: RNAcentral
AGUCGAACGGUGGUAGCAAUACCAUAGUGGCGCACGGGUGCGUAACACGUAACUAAUCUACCUACAACUGGGGGAUAGCCCGCCGAAAGGCGGAUUAAUACCGCAUAACAUUUCUACCUGGCAUCAGGUGGUAAUUAAAGAUUUAUUGGUUGUAGAUGAGGUUGCGGGUCAUCAGCUAGUUGGUUGGGUAACGGCUGACCAAGGCGACGAUGACUAGGGGAGCUGAGAGGCUGGUCCCCCACACGGGCACUGAGAUACGGGCCCGACUCCUACGGGAGGCAGCAGUAGGGAAUAUUGGGCAAUGGGCGAGAGCCUGACCCAGCCAUGCCGCGUGCAGGAAGAAGGCUUUCUGAGUCGUAAACUGCUUUUGACAGGGAAGAAUAAGGACUACGUGUAGUCUGAUGACGGUACCUGCAGAAUAAGCACCGGCUAACUCCGUGCCAGCAGCCGCGGUAAUACGGAGGGUGCGAGCGUUGUCCGGAUUUAUUGGGUUUAAAGGGUGCGUAGGCGGCCCGUUAAGUCCGGGGUGAAAGCCCGUUGCUCAACAACGGAACUGCCCUGGAUACUGACGGGCUUGAGUACAGACGAGGUUGGCGGAAUGGACCGAGUAGCGGUGAAAUGCAUAGAUACGGUCCAGAACCCCGAUUGCGAAGGCAGCUGACUAGGCUGUUACUGACGCUGAGGCACGACAGCGUGGGGAGCGAACAGGAUUAGAUACCCUGGUAGUCCACGCCGUAAACGAUGGAUACUCGCUGCGAGCUAAAGAUUGUUCGUGGCUUAGGGAAACCGAUAAGUAUCCCACCUGGGGAGUACGCUCGCAAGAGUGAAACUCAAAGGAAUUGAC